UGCGAUGAAAUUCACACUCCAUAUGGAGUAGCCCUCGAGCUUGUAAUUUGCAUCAUUUUCCCCUUAAAACCUGGAGAAAAAACUUUUUUGUCGAUGGACACGUGGCAUGCAGCCCCCGAGCCUUUAGCCGACUAGUUUGGUGGGUACAGGGGCCAAACUUGGUAAACGUGACCAGCCCUUGGAGUAUCCAAAUCUUCGUUUCAAAAUAAAAGUAACCACCAAUCAGGUUUCCUAAAUUUUGGGGAUCCUUUAAAUCGAAAACCAUUCACUGCAUAGUUUUUACUGUGCCACUAUUAUAAAUAACUCAGGAAGUUAUCCCUUCCAUCUUACCCUUGCCAUUUGUCUUUCCAACUUUCGUACUAUAGCCCUAGCACCGCCACCACUGCCUGAUCUCUGAGCAUUUGCCCUACCAAACUCCAUCCCUCCUAGCCCC
RNAcentral lists this long non-coding RNA (433 nucleotides) under Setaria viridis. RNAcentral describes it as "long non-coding RNA (SVIR_LNC008753)". The record is from RNAcentral. Lineage: Eukaryota; Viridiplantae; Streptophyta; Magnoliopsida; Poales; Poaceae.